This 71-nucleotide transfer RNA is filed under the name Ovis aries (sheep). It matches the Rfam family "tRNA". Rfam says of the family: Transfer RNA (tRNA) molecules are approximately 80 nucleotides in length. Their secondary structure includes four short double-helical elements and three loops (D, anti-codon, and T loops). Lineage: Eukaryota; Metazoa; Chordata; Mammalia; Artiodactyla; Bovidae. The record is from Rfam by way of RNAcentral.
UCCCCAGAGGCUUAGUGGUAAAGAAUCUGCCUGCAAUGCAGGAGAUACAGGUUCAAUCCCUGGGUCAGGAA